RNAcentral lists this ribosomal RNA (253 nucleotides) under uncultured bacterium. RNAcentral describes it as "partial 16S ribosomal RNA". It matches the Rfam family "Bacterial small subunit ribosomal RNA", at positions 524 to 776 of the family's 1533-position model. The record is from RNAcentral.
UACGUAGGGAGCAAGCGUUGUCCGGAAUCAUUGGGCGUAAAGCGCGCGUAGGCGGCCUCAUAAGUCCGUUGUGAAAGUCAAAGGCUCAACCUUUGAAAGCCGAUGGAUACUGUGAGGCUAGAGUCCGGAAGAGGCGAGUGGAAUUCCUGGUGUAGCGGUGGAAUGCGCAGAUAUCGGGAGGAACACCGGUGGCGAAGGCGGCGACCUGGGUCGAGACUGACGCUGAGGCGCGAAAGCGUGGGGAGCAAACAGG